CUAUCCUUUCAAUAAACUGGCUCUUUCAAGCUCCGGCCCCAGGAGAGAGAGGCUCUGACCCCACCGUCCGAGGACUGAGGGGCCUGGGGACCGUCAGCAAGCCGCCUCGCUCUCCUGCCAUCGCGCUCCCUCCCAUCCUCCUGCCCUCACUUUUCCUCUCUUUCCGGCUCCCUGGGCUCCCUCGGAGGUGCAGGGUCCUGAACCUGCCGCCGGGCGUGGACGGGGGGGACCGAGCCCGCAGGGGAAGUCUGGGGACUGAGGAGGGGACGGAGGUGUCCCCGUAAGUUCCAUCCCGCAACUCACCGGCCGGCGCCGCCCAAAGAAAGUAAGGCGGGAGCUGAGCCAGGACGGCGAGAACCAGCGCAGCGCCCACCGUAGUCGCCAUGGGUACGGAGCUCCGGAGCCCGGGAGGCCCCGGUCGUGGGCAGAAACUUUAAAGCCGGAUCCGCCCGGCGCCGCGCUCUCGCUCCUGCGGAUUGGGAGCCCCGCGCCUCGGGUCUGACGCUCCACAGCGGCGGCUCAGUGCAGCCCCGCCCGCUCCUUUACCCCUGGGCUGCGCGGGCCGCGUGUCUUCGCAGAGACGUCAGUGGGAUCACCGCCCGUGCAGGUCCUCGCCUGGGUUCCAGGUCCUGGGACAUCGCGAGGCCCGGGCGGGUCCCCAGAGACUUCCGCAGCCUCCUCGCCGCCGCCUUCUGCCCUCCUCCCGGCGCUUACCGCAGAAGACGAACCCAACGUUGAGGAUACAGUGGGCGCCUCCAGCCGGGGAAGCUGGCGAUCUAAGUCCGAGAGCUGUCACUAAAUCAUCCCGGCUGGCCUGGAACUUGCGAACCCGGGAUCACAGGCAGGUGUUGCAGCGCCUGGCAAUGAUUAACUUCUUAAAGUUGCCUUUGGUCACUUUCAUUGUUACCUUGAGGUGCAAUCAUUUCAACAUCCAUCCAACACCAGAUACCAACUGCUGACCCCAGGUCCUCCAUUCUGUUCAGUAAGAUAAAUCCCAGAGUUCAACCCCUGACCCAUCUCCCUCACAGUUUGCCCGGUAAAACAGACCCUAAAUUCCUGAGUGCCCAAGCUGACACACUCAUUAAGGAUCCUCUCAGUACAACCUCCAUAAGCCCAGUCCCCUCCUUUGUUCAUGGCCCAUUUUCCACCAGGAGAAUGGGUCCAGCAGUGUCACCCAAUUCCGUCCCCCCACCUGAUCCUGCAUGAGACUUU
Long non-coding RNA from Sciurus carolinensis (gray squirrel), 1212 nucleotides. RefSeq lists it as uncharacterized. The record is from RefSeq and is a predicted model, not a curated record. NCBI's taxonomy places the organism in Eukaryota, Metazoa, Chordata, Mammalia, Rodentia, Sciuridae. The transcript is spliced from 3 exons.